AUGACUCUAAGGAUUAGAAGCUGUUAUCCCAACAAACCCUGGAGCUCUAUAUAUUCUGAUUUUAUGCUUUCGCCUCUGUGCGCUUGUUGGUUUGACAUCCCGACCGCAUGUGGACUUCAACCGGUGGGAAGAAAUAGAAGAUUGUGCCACGUCAGACCAAUGCACCGUGACCACAAACUCCUCACCCACCAGGUGCUGGGUUCCUGCUGCCUUCCCUGGGCUCCUCGUGUCCCCAAGCACCCCGGGGGUGCUGACACCCUGGGGAUGUGCCAGCUCCCUGCCCGCCCCAGCACAGCCACAGCAAGCGGCUGCUUUGCACGGCCCCAGCUGAAGGAAAGCAUCGCCCUCGCCAUUGCCCUGUUCUAUUAGUGGAUUUUACGCUGCUUUUUAAAUUAUGCUGUUUUCAAACACGACUACAUUUGAAUGUCAGCCUCUAGUACCCAAAUAUAAAUGUCAAGACCUCUGUACAUCUCUGGCAUGUAGGAACUAAUUUAAUCAUCUCGGUGAAGCGAUUUCAGUUCAGACAAUCACUUUGCUCGAGUGGAAGGGUUAUGAAGAGAGUGCACAGUCGCGGGCGAAUGCUUACACACCAUUUAGGGCCGUGCUGCUUUACAAAGAGACAGCCAAGAAGGGCAUUUGUUCACCAGUGGACCUUCCCUGUGCCUGCCCUGCUGAUUGAAAUCAGGGUAAUCAUGUCUCGGGCUCAGAAAAAUGACGGGUGGCACCAGCGCAUACUGAAUUUUGUUUAUUGGGAAAAAGGUUGAGAAAAAGUGACAGGGAAUGAUUUUUUUUUUUUUUUCCCCUGUGAUAGGUGGAAAAAGGGUAAUCUUAUGAAAUAGAGGACAGUGGUCAGUGUGUGCUGCUCAGAUCCCUGAGUGCUGAUCGCCCUGACUGGGCACACAGCUAAUGUGACUGCAGCAGCAAAACCAUUUUGCAUAGGAACCAUGGGCUACUUCUGAAAUCUUGGAUGGCGUCAUUCCUCCCUUUACACAGGGCUUUAAAAAAAAAAAGUGAAGACAGUUCAGGUGAUACAGUUUUCAUGGAAUAACUCUGCUAAGCAGGGCUAGCAGAAGGAGCUUAUUCUCUCCCGGUGCCAGUUACCCAGAGUAGCCACGCUACUCAGCUUGUGCCCUCAGCUGCAUUAGGAAGCAAAGUUCCUCCUAAAUUUCUGGGGGACUCUGGCUGGCACCAAGCUACCACUGUGCAAAAGCUCUGAUUUGGGUCAUCGCUGGAAAAGCAAUGAUUUUAUGGAAAAGACCAAGCAACACCCAAGCUCCUUUCUGUGGUUGCUGGAAGGUCAGAGAUGAACUUGCGUGAUAAGACAGAGAUGAGAAAAUGAAAAGGAAGCAGUAGAGCAGGAGCUGGAGGGUGAGCAUGGGGAAUGGUUGAGCCCAGGUGGCUGUGGGGACAUCUGGGGACACAGGGGAUGUGCUGAGGGAGGCCAUCACCCUGGCAUGGGGGCUCCCUGCUGAGGAAGCAGAAAGCAACCCUCCUGCAGCAAGCAUCCCCAGCUGCUUGGUGGCUGUGCACUCCUGAGUCCGGCAGGGGCAGUUGUGCAGCCCGAGGCCACAGAUUUAAUAAAUGAACCACAGGCAUUGAUCCGACCUGUCUGCGUGGGAGCCAUGCCAGGCAAAGUGUCCUUUCCCCAGGCACGCCGUCACCUCGCAGGCUGCGGGUUGGGAGCUGACCCAGCUCAAGUCACGGAGAAGAAGUUUGGAUCUGGCACUGAUCACACUCUUCCAUCCUGAACUUAAAACUUUUGGCCCUAAUUCUGUUCUCAGCUACCAGCAUUGGGAAGUUAGAACAAAAAAUUUUGCUACCGUUUCAAGCAGCCCCAAAUCAAACAAAGCAAAAGAGUGACAAGAAGUGCAAUCCAUUUUGGAGAGCUUUGGCAAAAGAGGCUUAAUUUGUUGGAUUACUU
This 1921-nucleotide long non-coding RNA is filed under the name Anas zonorhyncha (Eastern spot-billed duck). RNAcentral describes it as "lncRNA (ENSAZOG00000008887.1)". Lineage: Eukaryota; Metazoa; Chordata; Aves; Anseriformes; Anatidae. The record is from RNAcentral.